AUUGAACGCUGGCGGCAGGCCUAACACAUGCAAGUCGAGCGGAGCGGCGGACGGGUGAGUAAUGCCUAGGUAUCUGCCUGGUCGUGGGGGAUAACGUCCGGCAACGGGCGCUAAUACCGCAUACUAUCAGAUGAGCCUAGGUCGGAUUAGCUAGUUGGUGGUGUAAAGGCCUACCACGGCGACGAUCCGUAACUGGUCUGAGAGGAUGAUCAGUCACACGGGAACUGAGACACGUUCCAGGCUCCUACGUGAGGCAGCAGUGGGGAAUAUUGGACAAUGGGCGCAAGCCUGAUCCAGCCAUGCCGCGUGUGUGAAGAAGGUCUUCGGAUUGUAAAGCACUUUAAGUUGGGAGGCGUUACCAACAGAAGAAGCACCGGCUAACUGCGUGCCAGCAGCCGCGGUAAUUC
Molecule: ribosomal RNA, 407 nt
Filed under: uncultured bacterium
Lineage: Bacteria
Description: partial 16S ribosomal RNA
Rfam family: Bacterial small subunit ribosomal RNA
Source: RNAcentral